ACUCUUUUACUUAAAAAAAAUUAAUAAUAUUUAUUUAUAAAAAUUCUUUCACAUUUUUUGACUUAAAAGAAAAUGAAGGAUUUUUGCCCAUAUUACUCCCCCUAAGACGUACGCCGGUAUUGAUUCAGAGGAAUAUUUUGCCCAUAUUACGCCUAGAAAAUGAAUAAAGCUGUUUGGGAGAAGUACAACUACCAACAGGUUAAAGAAAAGCGAGGGAUUUGAUAUCACCAGAUUAUCCCGUACAGUGUGCGAUGACAACUGUCUACCCUGUGCCAUACUACUUGAAUGAUCCUAAGAAUGUUGAGAUACAAUGAUGAAACGGGCAUCAAUUAUGAGGUCAAUGACAUUUUGACGGUGGACGGAGGUGGUUGUCGUGACUUCGUCUUCUGUAUCACCUCUUCUGUCAAAACGCCUGAUGGUAAGGAUGUCAUUUUGACGGUGAUCAGGCUGAAGGUAAAAGCUUUUAUUGGUUAAGGCUGCUAUCAGCAACAUUAUGUCAUACAUUCUAUUUCUUCUGAUAUUUUUAGUGUGCUCAUAUUUCUUCAGAUGCUUUCAGCAUGUUUUAUUUAUAACCAGAGUCUUAAUAGAAUCAUGUGUCUAUGAGAUUAGGCUAUUGUACCACAAAAUCAGUAAUUGCGUAUCAGAAUGGAUACCAGAGUUGCUUUGUCAUGUUAUGUAAUUUGUAUGUCUGGUAAAUUUAACUGAUAGUAUGUGCUAUCUCCCCUUUGUCAGUGAUCUUUAACUUUUAGUAUUAUGAACAAAUACAUUAAUUUUGAAGGGGGGAAAUUUCAGUAAAAAUAGCACUGCCCGAGAAGUUCUUUACUGCCUUUUUUCCUCUUAGCGCUGCUUUAUAUUCACCUUAAGGAUGUUAAAUAAGUGCUUCGGUAACUAGAAGCUUAGAGAGCAGUGAUGCUCCAGUAGUUCCUAAAUUGGCGUGGAAAUCUCUAGUCUGAAACGUGAGUUUGCUAAGUCGAAAACCCCCCACCUUAUAGUAGGGUUCACUGAGAUGGUUACUAAAUUUAUGAUACUCAUAAGUUUUACUCCGCCCAAGUAGAUAGCUGAGUGGUCAAAUGAACCGUGUUUGUGCCUUUUCUCCAUCUCUCAACCUAUCUUUUGCAAAAAAAAAUAAAAAUUAUCAUCUCCAUUGUGAUGAGCAGGCAGGUUUGGCUUUCUGUUACCAGGCAGAGCUUUUGAAAAAAUUUUUUAGUAGAUUUUGAUUGCAAUGUAGUUCUCUGAUUAAUAAUCAAAAAUGAAGUUUGAGGUCUAAUCGCAUUGUUUUUUUGUUGUUAUUGCUUCCAUAUGUGUAUCCCCUUUUCAAACUAUUUGGCAAAGCUUAUUUAAGGUUUAUUGAAAACAACCUCUCUAUUUCUACGAGGUAGGGGUAAGGUAUGCGUACACUCUACCCUCCUCGGAUCAGACCUCACUUGUGGGAUUACAGUAUGUGGUUGUAAUUUAGAAAAGGAUUCUUUUUUUAACAUUGUUUAAAAGCGAACUUGGCAAUUGUUAGUAUGCAAAUAUCUCAUUGUUUCAAAUCCAUAUCAAGCACAGUUUUCUUGCAUUGUACACAGAGACUUCUAGCCACAAUAUGCAAAAUUUUCUUGAAUAAUCUCACUUUGCAGUAGGGGCUUGCCUACGGACAAAGCUUUAAUAGCUUGGUUUGCCUGUUUGACUCCAUAAAAGGGGCUAACUUCUGAAGCCAUGCUUACCUAGCAAGUCAUCAAAUGGAAAUGGAUGGUCACUUUUAGUAAGAAAACAUCUUAUUUUUGGGUAUAGGGUAAGAAGGAACAAGCCACCAUUUGUGCUUGUGUUCUUAAACGUAAGGAAUAUAGACCAAUCAGGAUGAGGCAAAUUCUUCGUCCUCUAAAGGACAACAAGGAGAUGUCAAUUAUAAUUGCUGCAAGUUCCUGUUUGUUUAAAGAAACAAUCUUUUGAUAACCUUACCCGGUCUAACUUGGAUUUUGGAUCACUGUCAAUCAAGAUGCUACCUAGGCAGCGUCCUUGCACCAGAUGCUGCUGCAGCUGCCUCAUUAUGUAAGGGGCUUUUUAGUUUAUAAUUAUCUGGGCCUCCAAAUCAUAUUUUUCAAAAACGAUGUUACCAACUGAAAUCUCUUAGCUCUCAUAAUGUUCUUUAUUUAGUUUCAAAUAGCCGAAUUCUCUAAAUCAAGUAUGUAUCUGGAAGAUUCUGCCACUGAGCUUUUAUGGAUUUUGCUCUACAUCAUGUGGAGUUCUGUAUUAGAAAUCCAAAUGAACUAAAAGAUUCCGUAAUUUUGCCAGCCUUGCUACAGCACUAAGUUAGAUCCCUUGUAUUUGGUGCUGGAAAGUCAAGCAUUUCUGCAUGCUGUCAAACUAUUUCUUGCCUGUGUGCUUUUUUCCUUUGAUAAGGGAUUUCUUGCUUGUAUUCUCAAGUAUUUAUACCUAGUGAUAAAUGUCAGUUUAAUAACUUCAGCUGGUGUAAUUGGGUUAAUUUGGCAGAUUCAGUAAGUAUCCUCAUGACAUCUUUGAAGUGUUAGGAUUUGUUUAUUGCCUGAGUUUUGAUGUACCUUCCUUUCUUUUUAUCAAAAGAUUAAAAAAAAUCUUCAUCCUUUGAGUGCUUCAGAUCUUGGUCAGAAUUAAGCUCACCUCCUCUAAUGUGCAGAAAACAAAUUUGGUCUUAUUACUCUAUGGAGUUAUUUUCUUGAAGAUUCCGUAAAUCAUAUGUAGGUCAUUGGUUCUCAUAUUUCAUCUAUUAGCAGUAUUUCACUAGUACAAGCUUUCAUUUCAAAGAACUAUUGUCAAAAGCAUCGCUGUAUGUUGACGGAGUAGCUACAUGGAGCAUGGUAUUCACCUAACUUGCGUGGAUUCACUUUAGAUGUUGCACCCGUGUCAUCAGAUACUCCAAAAAUACAAAAUUCUGUUGACAUUUUUGAAGAGUUUGAGCAACAUAGGUUUUCACAAGUAGGGGAGCGUGUGAGUGGUGAAACAGACUCUUAUUGAGUCUCCAACCUAGUUUCAUACUUCAUAAUGCAUUGCAUUUGAAAAUCUAGCUUACCAGUGUAGUUAAUACAUUGGAAUAACUUCUUGAAAACUUUUUGCAUUCACUUCUCCGUGGGAAUAACCUGAUUCACUUCAGCAGCCUUUAUCAUGUAAGUAGUGGCUUUAAAACUCUAUAUGCAGGUGACUGUUGAACUGGAUCGAUGCUAUAUGCAUUGAAGUUUUGCUUUGCAAAAUAGAUUUCCUCUUGUUCUUCUCCUUAUAUGAGUUCUUGGAGUCUCCGUUUGUGUUAUCUUUCUGGAUCUUCAGCUAUAGUCGUGAGACGAUCUUUAUUAACAAAAUUAUACGUUUCAGGGAUCAUGCUGACUGAAGAAUAAAGUCACUCUAGCAAGAUCAAUCUACCCCCACCAUCAAUGCUCAGACCUACGGAUGCUGUAUCUUGAGAUUCGCUUUGACAUAGUACCUCUGUGUGCUGGUAUAAGCUAUGCAAUCUACUCUUCAUUUCCCCUUGUUCUUGCACGUGAAACGUAGAAACAUUUGUUCAGUUGGAAAUAAACAAAUUAGUAGUAAGAAUGCUGCAUUGCUACCUGGUGGUUUCGUUGCAUUACGUAAUAAACUUUUUGGUUUCUCCUCCUUGGUAUUUUUCGAGAUCAAGCUGAGUAUAAUGCAGCAUUAUUAAGGUGGAAUCUAAGAUGUAAUUACUAUACAGUAACAGAAUAAGUUCUAUGUUUAAAAUCUGUUUCAAAGGAAAUGUUCUGUUCAGUAUCAUAGGAUGCUGCAUAUGUACGUUGAAGUUUAUCCUGUAUAGAUUUUCAUUCUACUCA
Long non-coding RNA from Solanum pennellii, 3794 nucleotides. RefSeq lists it as uncharacterized. The record is from RefSeq and is a predicted model, not a curated record. Lineage: Eukaryota; Viridiplantae; Streptophyta; Magnoliopsida; Solanales; Solanaceae. The transcript is spliced from 4 exons.